AACAUUCAACGCUGUCGGUGAGUUUGAGAAAGUGUAAAAAUGUAAACCAUCGGCCGUUGACUGUACC
RNAcentral lists this microRNA precursor (67 nucleotides) under Xenopus laevis (African clawed frog). RNAcentral's name for it is "Xla-Mir-181-P1b4_pre stem-loop". It matches the Rfam family "mir-181 microRNA precursor family", at positions 12 to 73 of the family's 83-position model. Rfam says of the family: In this case the mature sequence comes from the 5' arm of the precursor. Lineage: Eukaryota; Metazoa; Chordata; Amphibia; Anura; Pipidae. The record is from RNAcentral.